GCGUUAAAGCAAGGGCGUCUGGAGGAUGCCUUGGCGCACACAGGCGAUGAAGGACGUAGCACGCUGCGAUAAGCCGCGAGUAGGGGCGAGCACCCUCUGAUCCGCGGAUUUCCGAAUCGGGAAACCGAACCCGCAAGGGUUAUCUGUCCCUGAAUACAUAGGGGAGAGAAGCAAACCCGGGGAACUGAAACAUCUCAGUACCCGGAGGAAAGGACAUCAAUUGAGACUCCGUUAGUAGUGGCGAGCGAAAGCGGACUAGGCCAGUAGUCUUCGUUUAAGAACCGGAACGCUCUGGAAAGGGCGGCCAUAGCGGGUGAUAGCCCCGUACGGGUAGAAAGAGCGAAGAUUCUCGAGUAGGACGGGACACGAGUAAUCCUGUCUGAACACGGGGGGACCACCCUCNNGGGAAAGGUGAAAAGCACCCCGGCGAGGGGAGUGAAAGAGACCUGAAACCGGACGCCUACAAACAGAUGGAGCAGGCUCACCAAAGGUGAGUUGCUUCUCUACCUUGCUGAAAACGCGAAGUGUCGAAACGAUGCGAACGAAGGCGAAAGCCGUCGGGCGCAGCGCGUCGAUAUUUUGGUUUUUGAAGGAAGAGAAGGGCCCGCUUUUGGCGAGCCUGUGACAUCGUACCUUUUGUAUAAUGGGUCAGCGAGUUCGUUUGUCUAGCAAGCUUAAGCCAUGAGGCGGAGGCGCAGCGAAAGCGAGUCUGAAUAGGGCGACUGAGUUAGACGGAUGAGACCCGAAAGCAAGUGAUCUAGCCAUGACCAGGCUGAAGGUGCGGUAACACGCACUGGAGGGCCGAACCCACGCCUGUUGAAAAAGUCGGGGAUGAGUUGUGGCUAGGGGUGAAAGGCCAAUCAAACUUGCAGAUAGCUGGUUCUCUGCGAAAGCUAUUUAGGUAGCGCGUCAUGUAUCACCACCGGGGGUAGAGCACUGGAUGGGCUAGGGGACUUCACCGUCUACCAAACCUAACCAAACUCCGAAUACCNNGAAAGCGUAACAGCUCACUGGUCUAAAUAAGGAACUUUGCGCCGAAGAUGUAACGGGGCUCAAGCCACGUGCCGAAGCUUUGGAUUCAUCGAAAGAUGAAUGGUAGCAGAGCGUUGCGUAUGCCUGCGAAGGGAAAGGGCGACCGAUCCUGGAGGUAUCGCAAGUGAGAAUGCUGACAUGAGUAGCGAUAAAGAGGGUGAGAGACCCUCUCGCCGGAAGUCCAAGGGUUCCUGCGUCAAGUUAAUCUGCGCAGGGUUAGCCGGCCCCUAAGGUGAGGCCGAAAGGCGUAAUCGAUGGGAACCAGGUGAACAUUCCUGGGCCUGCGGGUAGUGACGGAUUCUGUAACCUGUCCGAUCUUACUGGAUUGAUCGGGCCGGGAAGGAGUCCCAGGAAAUAGCUCCCGCGUUAAGUCCGUACCCCAAACCGACACAGGUGGACUGGCAGAGUAUGCUAAGGCGCUUGAGAGAACUGUGUUGAAGGAACUAGGCAAAUUGCCCUCGUAACUUCGGAAGAAGAGGGCCCAGUCUUUGCGCAAGCAUCGACUGGGGGCACAUAGCAGGGGGUAGCGACUGUUUACUAAAAACACAGGGCACUGCGAAAUCCAAAGAUGACGUAUAGUGUCUGACGCCUGCCCGGUGCCGGAAGGUUAAGAGGAGAUGUGAAAGCGUCGAAUCGAAGCCCCGGUAAACGGCGGCCGUAACUAUAACGGUCCUAAGGUAGCGAAAUUCCUUGUCGGGUAAGUUCCGACCUGCACGAAUGGCGUAACGACUUCCCCGCUGUCUCCAACACCAACUCAGCGAAAUUGAAUUCUCCGUGAAGAUGCGGAGUACCCGCGGUUAGACGGAAAGACCCCGUGCACCUUUACUGCAACUUUGCACUGGCAUUAGGACUGUGAUGCGUAGGAUAGGUGGUAGGCUUUGAAGUCUGGGCUCUGGCUCGGAUGGAGCCGUCCUUGAAAUACCACCCUUUGCGAUCCUGAUGUCUAACUGCGGCCUCGAAACGAGGUUCAGGACCAUGCAUGGUAGGCAGUUUGACUGGGGCGGUCGCCUCCCAAAGAGUAACGGAGGCGCGCGAUGGUAGGCUCAGACCGGUCGGAAAUCGGUUGUUGAGUGCAAUGGCAAAAGCCUGCCUGACUGCAAGGUUGACGGACCAAGCAGAGUCGAAAGACGGUCAUAGUGAUCUGCCGAUCCCGCGUGGAAGGGUCGGCACUCAACGGAUAAAAGGUACGCCGGGGAUAACAGGCUGAUCGCGCCCAAGAGUCCAUAUCGACGGCGCGGUUUGGCACCUCGAUGUCGGCUCAUCACAUCCUGGGGCUGGAGCAGGUCCCAAGGGUUCGGCUGUUCGCCGAUUAAAGUGGUACGUGAGCUGGGUUUAGAACGUCGUGAGACAGUUCGGUCCCUAUCUGCCGUGGGUGUUCGAAACUUGAGAGGACCCGUUCCUAGUACGAGAGGACCGGAAUGGACGUACCUCUGGUGGACCGGUUGUCGUGCCAACGGCACAGCCGGGUAGCUAAGUACGGACGAGAUAACCGCUGAAAGCAUCUAAGCGGGAAACUCACCUCAAAACCAGGUUUCGCAUGAGAGCCGUGGAAGACGACCACGUCGAUAGGCCAGGUGUGUAAGCGCGGCAACGCGUUGAGCUUACUGGUCCUAAUCGCUCGAUUGGCUUGAUCGC
This 2667-nucleotide ribosomal RNA is filed under the name Alphaproteobacteria bacterium. RNAcentral describes it as "bacterial LSU rRNA". It matches the Rfam family "Bacterial large subunit ribosomal RNA". The record is from RNAcentral. Lineage: Bacteria; Pseudomonadati; Pseudomonadota; Alphaproteobacteria.